CUGCCAGUAGUCAUAUGCUUGUCUCAAAGAUUAAGCCAUGCAUGUCUCAGUACAAGCCAUAUUAAGGUGAAACCGCGAAAGGCUCAUUAAAUCAGUUAUGGUUCCUUAGAUCGUACCCACAUUUACUUGGAUAACUGUGGUAAUUCUAGAGCUAAUACAUGCAAACAGAGUUCCGACCGGAGACGGAAGGAAUGCUUUUAUUAGAUCAAAACCAAUCGGCGGCAAUUUAGUUUACUUUAUUGUUCGUCGCACUUUUUGGUGACUCUGAAUAACUUUUGGCUGAUCGCACGGUCUCGCACCGGCGACGCAUCUUUCAAAUGUCUGCCUUAUCAACUGUCGAUGGUAGGUUCUGCGCCUACCAUGGUUGUAACGGGUAACGGGGAAUUAGGGUUCGAUUCCGGAGAGGGAGCCUGAGAAACGGCUACCACAUCCAAGGAAGGCAGCAGGCGCGCAAAUUACCCACUCCCGGCACGGGGAGGUAGUGACGAAAAAUAACGAUACGGGACUCAUCCGAGGCCCCGUAAUCGGAAUGAGUACACUUUAAAUCCUUUAACAAGGACCAAUUGGAGGGUAAGUCUGGUGCCAGCAGCCGCGGUAAUUCCAGCUCCAAUAGCGUAUA
Molecule: ribosomal RNA, 619 nt
Filed under: Jeannelius gloriosus
Lineage: Eukaryota; Metazoa; Arthropoda; Insecta; Coleoptera; Carabidae
Description: SSU rRNA
Rfam family: Eukaryotic small subunit ribosomal RNA
Source: RNAcentral